AUUGAACGCUGGCGGCAUGCUUUACACAUGCAAGUCGAACGGCAGCGCGGGGCAACCUGGCGGCGAGUGGCGAACGGGUGAGUAAUACAUCGGAACGUACCCAGAAGUGGGGGAUAACGUAGCGAAAGUUACGCUAAUACCGCAUACGUUCUACGGAAGAAAGUGGGGGACCUUCGGGCCUCAUGCUUUUGGAGCGGCCGAUGUCUGAUUAGCUAGUUGGUGAGGUAAAGGCUCACCAAGGCGACGAUCAGUAGCUGGUCUGAGAGGACGACCAGCCACACUGGGACUGAGACACGGCCAAGACUCCUACGGGAGGCAGCAGUGGGGAAUUUUGGACAAUGGGCGCAAGCCUGAUCCAGCAAUGCCGCGUGAGUGAAGAAGGCCUUCGGGUUGUAAAGCUCUUUUGUCAGGGAAGAAACGGCUGAGGAUAAUACCUUCGGCUAAUGACGGUACCUGAAGAAUAAGCACCGGCUAACUACGUG
Molecule: ribosomal RNA, 482 nt
Filed under: uncultured bacterium
Lineage: Bacteria
Description: partial 16S ribosomal RNA
Rfam family: Bacterial small subunit ribosomal RNA
Source: RNAcentral